GAGUUUGAUCCUGGCUCAGAACGAACGCUGGCGGCGUGCUUAACACAUGCAAGUCAGGGAGAAGGUCUCUUCGGGGAUGAUUAAACCGGCGCACGGGUGAGUAACACGUGAGUGACCUGCCUUUUAGACUGGAACAACUUACCGAAAGGUGAGCUAAUGCCGGAUGAGUUAUAUAAGUGCAUGUUUAUAUAGGAAAAGUUGGGGAGACCUGACGCUGAAAGAUGGACUCGCGUCCCAUUAGCUAGUUGGUAGGGUAAUGGCCUACCAAGGCGACGAUGGGUAGCCGGCCUGAGAGGGUGGCCGGCCACACUGGGACUGAGACACGGCCCAGACUCCUACGGGAGGCAGCAGUGGGGAAUUUUGCGCAAUGCUCGUAAGAGUGACGCAGCGACGCCGCGUGAAUGACGAAGGCCUUCGGGUCGUAAAGUUCUUUCGACAGGGAAGAAAAUGCCUAUAAGUAACUGUGUAUGUAUUGACGGUACCUGUAUAAGCAGCCCCGGCUAACUCCGUGCCAGCAGCCGCGGUAAUACGGAGGGGGCGAGCGUUGUUCGGAGUGACUGGGCGUAAAGAGCACGUAGGCGGUGUUGUAAGUCAUUAGUCAAAGACUAGAGCUCAACUUUAGUAAGGCUAGUGAUACUAUAAUACUAGAGUAUCAGAGAGGAUUGCAGAAUUCCUGGUGUAGCGGUGAAAUGCGUAGAUAUCAGGAGGAAUACCGUUAGCGAAGGCGGCAAUCUGGCUGGAAACUGACGCUGAGGUGCGAAAGCGUGGGGUAGCAACAGGAUUAGAUACCCUGGUAGUCCACGCUGUAAACGAUGGAUGCUAG
This 823-nucleotide ribosomal RNA is filed under the name uncultured bacterium. RNAcentral describes it as "bacterial SSU rRNA". It matches the Rfam family "Bacterial small subunit ribosomal RNA", at positions 9 to 819 of the family's 1533-position model. The record is from RNAcentral.